RNAcentral lists this ribosomal RNA (253 nucleotides) under uncultured bacterium. RNAcentral's name for it is "partial 16S ribosomal RNA". It matches the Rfam family "Bacterial small subunit ribosomal RNA", at positions 524 to 776 of the family's 1533-position model. The record is from RNAcentral.
UACGUAGGUGGCAAGCGUUGUCCGGAUUUACUGGGCGUAAAGAGCGCGCAGGCGGUCGAAUAUGUCGAAUGUGAAAGCCCCCGGCUUAACUGGGGAGGGUCAUUCGAUACUGCUCGACUUGAAGGCAGGAGAGGGUAGUGGAAUUCCCGGUGUAGUGGUGAAAUGCGUAGAUAUCGGGAGGAACACCAGUGGCGAAGGCGACUACCUGGCCUGUUCUUGACGCUGAGGCGCGAAAGCUGGGGGAGCAAACGGG